GAGGGGAUAGCUCAAAUGGUAGAGCAUGUGCUUAGCAUGCAUGAGGUCCUGGGUUCAAUCCCCAGUACUUCU
This 72-nucleotide transfer RNA is filed under the name Camelus bactrianus (Bactrian camel). It matches the Rfam family "tRNA". Rfam says of the family: Transfer RNA (tRNA) molecules are approximately 80 nucleotides in length. Their secondary structure includes four short double-helical elements and three loops (D, anti-codon, and T loops). Further hydrogen bonds mediate the characteristic L-shaped molecular structure. tRNAs have two regions of fundamental functional importance: the anti-codon, which is responsible for specific mRNA codon recognition, and the 3' end, to which the tRNAs corresponding amino acid is attached (by aminoacyl-tRNA synthetases). tRNAs cope with the degeneracy of the genetic code in two manners: having more than one tRNA (with a specific anti-codon) for a particular amino acid; and 'wobble' base-pairing, i.e. permitting non-standard base-pairing at the 3rd anti-codon position. RNAcentral also lists the same sequence under 2 other names. Lineage: Eukaryota; Metazoa; Chordata; Mammalia; Artiodactyla; Camelidae. The record is from Rfam by way of RNAcentral.